Drosophila subobscura is the source of this 2869-nucleotide RNA transcript. RefSeq lists it as uncharacterized. The record is from RefSeq and is a predicted model, not a curated record. NCBI's taxonomy places the organism in Eukaryota, Metazoa, Arthropoda, Insecta, Diptera, Drosophilidae. The transcript is spliced from 3 exons.
AUACUAUAUAAAUAUGUGCAAGAACAACAUGGAUGAAAGACUGAAUAGUUUCGGGACAACAUAGAAGAAGGUUUUCAUACUCUAACAUCAGUAAUGGAUGCUACAAACAUGGGAUAUAGAUACAGAUAUAAUAUAUUAUGUACCCUUUAUUGCAGGGUAUACCGAAAACAGAUACAACAGCCACCGGAUGACAAGUGAGCGAGCGGCCAUUGUCUCUGGCCCGUUAGAAAUUGUUUAUCAUGCAUUUUGUUCGAUUCCAGCGACUGAAUAAUGCAGCAGGUAGGUCGGUGUGUAUGGAAUGGGAGAAAGAAAGAGACACAGGCAAAUAAAUAAGCACGAGCACGAAAGCGGCAGAGUAGGAGUAGCAAAAGCAGAAUGGGGGCGAAAACAGGAAAAAAGGCACAAACAACGGACAACAGACAGUGCCAGACCAGACACAAAACCGUUCUGUAUUGCUUUGGGCGGCAUUCAAAUUGAAUAUUGAAAGCAUCGUGCACAAAACUGCCAAACGCUUGAAUUAUGCAUUAAUGAUGUCGUUGUCUCCGUCUCUGUCUCGCAGCGCCAUAGUGGACAGCGCCAGCAGCAAAGGGGCUGGGGACUGGACAGGGCAAAAGAAGGGUUUUGUCCGUCGUCAAAGCGUGCCAGCAGCAGAAAAUAGACAAGAACAACGGCACUGCGUCCUUCGCCACUUUUGUUCACUCUCCUGUCCCAUCGCCUCUGGCUGCUUAUUAAUUUUUUAUGCGUCUGCCAUUUUUAUGCACUCGCCGCAAGCAUUUUAUUUUCUCUAACCUCAGCUUUCAAUAGAUUUCCCUUUCAAAUGUUGUGCUGAAAGUUCAAUGAGCCCUAUCGAUGAUCAGCUGUCGAUCAGCAGCUUUGACUUUCCAGUGUUGUGAAAUGUGAAACCACCCAGAAAGAUAUUCACAAUGGCUGGCACACAAAAAACAAAAAUUAAUUACCCGCAUUUUGCGCGCAAAGAAGAAGCGCCUGCAGUAGAAGAUAAUCAAGGCCGAAAAUCAGGUGCGGGCUGCACAGUCAAAGCGGUGCGGUGGCUGCACCGAAUGUAGGUAACGGGUGCAGGCCAUGCAAAACUCAUUACAUACCGCAGAAACCACGCCGAUAUCACCCACGCGGGCGCACGCUGACCGCAACAUGCUGUAAUGCGUGUCCCCUCCACCACCACAGAAUUCGCAAUCGCUUUAUCAACAUUUGCAUGGGACAGCAGCACCAGGACAUAACCAGACCGGACCAGAGCCCCUAUACACAAUGAUGGCCAAGGAUUGGAGCCGGCGCACGACCAGGCCAAUACUUUAAGCCCAUGUGCUGAGUGCUGCACUGCCAAAGGACAAACUUAAUGUCAGCACGCUAAUCUGUCACUCACUGCGAAUGGAAUGGGACUGGCGCAGAGAUACGACUGGGAGCUGCGACAUGCUCUGGCUACUUAAGGAGGAGCACUAUGGAUGCGCUUCGCUCCGCCUCGCUGCACGGGACAGCGUGCGGCCGGAGGGUGGAGCUUGACGCGCUGCUUGACUUGCCAUCAGACACUUGCGGGACCACAAGCCAUCGCCAGGCAUCGGAUCAGCCCACGCCCUCGCCAGCGCAAUGGUAAGGGGGAGGACAAGCAAGCACAACGCGCCUUAUCAACUAUGCACGGCUUUGUCUCUAAACGAUUGUCUGCCUGUUCCUGCACCAUCUCUCUCCAACUCUCGGUGGCAACCUGUUUUCUGUGUGUUCGCCAGCAUCAGCACCGGUACCCGUACCCGUACCCUUGCCAGUACCCUUGCCAGUGCCAGCGUCAGCGUCUUUUGUUGCGCUUAAUGAAUUUUACGUAAAUUUUACGAGCGCUGAUUUCUGCCAGAGAGAACACUCCCCCCACACACUACGGGGUGGAUAACCACCCACCCAGGCUAUUAAUCUACACUUUAGCGGAAGCAACACCCCCAGCACCGCCCUGACAAGGGGGCAAGGCGACUCCUGCUGCUGCUGCUGCUGCUCCAUCCACUCUGCGUGUAUGCCUGUCAAGGAUCUGGAAAAUUACCACAAGCAUGGGUGAGAAGGGUUGGAGGAAAGCCGCUAACGCACUCGAAUCGAGUAAUUUUUGUCUAGCCCCCAGCCCUGGAAUGCAGUUUGACAGAAAGUAAGUACUUUCGAGUACUUUCUCUCCUGUCACACACACACACACACACAAUUGCACACUUUCUACUUUCUUAAUUUUUCGUCGGCCUCUGCACAGCGUUUGAAAAAUCGUGGAAAUGGAAAUGGACAUGAAAAAGGGCGUACUGCUAUUCAAGGAGGAUAAUAAUGGAGUUGUUACCACCGUCCACUUAACGCCAUUGGUCAAUCUAGAUACGAAGUUCCAAUGCGGCCACUGCGGCAAUAAGUACAUGUACAGCGGGCCCUUUAGCAACCAUGUACGUGCCUGUAAGCGUCGCAGCGAGUUGGAUGCGGACCGAAAGUCACAGGAGGACAAACCUAAGCUCAAGAUCUGUGAUAAGCGCGUCAGUUCUUCCGAUGAAAUAUCAAUGAAUGGGCCCAAAAAGAGGCGCAAAACCAAAGAGCUGACUGGAAGCAGGAUCCAACUGGAAAAGAAAACCCCGCGCACCAUUAAAAAGGUGCACACUUGUUUUUCCUGCCAGCAACCGUUUACUGAUGAGUUUGAAAUCGGGAAAAAAAGUCUACGCUAUUUCUGCAAUGAUUGUACCACGAAGAUCCGUAACGAAGAGAAGACAAGCGGACCCAUCAAGUCAAAGGUUCCAUUUUUGUGCGAGGAAUGUGGCAUGUCGUACAAACUGGAAGCUAAUUUAAUGCGGCACAAGAGCGUAUGCAAGGUGUUGAUAGAAAAUCGCUUACAAAACGAUUCAAUUUGUUAGUU